UGAGGAAUAUUGGUCAAUGGGCGAGAGCCUGAACCAGCCAAGUAGCGUGCAGGAUGACGGCCCUAUGGGUUGUAAACUGCUUUUAUAUGGGAAUAAAGUGAGGGACGUGUCCCUUAUUGCAUGUACCAUACGAAUAAGGACCGGCUAAUUCCGUGCCAGCAGCCGCGGUAAUACGGAAGGUUCGGGCGUUAUCCGGAUUUAUUGGGUUUAAAGGGAGCGCAGGCCGUUUGGUAAGCGUGUUGUGAAAUGUAGGAGCUCAACUUCUAGAUUGCAGCGCGAACUGUCAGAAUUGAGUGCGCACAACGUAGGCGGAAUUCAUGGUGUAGCGGUGAAAUGCUUAGAUAUCAUGAAGAACUCCGAUUGCGAAGGCAGCUUACGGGAGCGCAACUGACGCUGAAGCUCGAAGGUGCGGGUAUCGAACAGG
Molecule: ribosomal RNA, 424 nt
Filed under: Verrucomicrobiota bacterium
Lineage: Bacteria; Pseudomonadati; Verrucomicrobiota
Description: Verrucomicrobia bacterium partial 16S ribosomal RNA
Rfam family: Bacterial small subunit ribosomal RNA
Source: RNAcentral